This 467-nucleotide long non-coding RNA is filed under the name Ricinus communis (castor bean). RNAcentral's name for it is "long non-coding RNA (RCOM_LNC003683)". Lineage: Eukaryota; Viridiplantae; Streptophyta; Magnoliopsida; Malpighiales; Euphorbiaceae. The record is from RNAcentral.
AAGAUGCUCAUCCUCAUAAGAUUUUUUGGUUGUGAUUUACUGGAUUUUACUUUCAUUAACAGAACUGGAGAAGCCUGCUGGCCACAUUGAAUUGGUAUCUGGGUUUUUGCCUGCUAAGACUCCAAAUAUUCUUCUUCCUAGGGGCAAGGAUAUGAGUAGGACAUGUCAUAAGCGACAACCGGAAGGCAUGGAGUGCACACUCAAGCUCAAAGAAGUAAAGAAAAUUAGUGGCAUCUAUGCUGAUUGGAUUGAAGAUAUGCCCUUUCUUGCAUAACUCGUUGAAAAUUAUCCUUGUCAGAGGCAGGAAUUGUCAAUCAGAUGUGUCAGUUGUUGUAGUAAUGACCUCUUAAUGCGAGGAUAUGAUAUUUUAAAUGCUUAACAUGUCUAUUUUCGAAGUGGCAUGCUAUACUAGGAGACUCGGAUCUCUUGAUUUGAAACUGUUUAUAGUUUGUGCAAGUUCGUUUUAC